This is a microRNA precursor of Tupaia belangeri (northern tree shrew), 92 nucleotides long. The record is from Ensembl. NCBI's taxonomy places the organism in Eukaryota, Metazoa, Chordata, Mammalia, Scandentia, Tupaiidae.
UGUACCACCUUGUCGGGUAGCUUAUCAGACUGAUGUUGACUGUUGAAUCUCAUGGCAACAGCAGUCGAUGGGCUGUCUGACAUUUUGGUAUC